This 355-nucleotide unclassified non-coding RNA is filed under the name Hevea brasiliensis (rubber tree). Lineage: Eukaryota; Viridiplantae; Streptophyta; Magnoliopsida; Malpighiales; Euphorbiaceae. The record is from RNAcentral.
GAAACAAUCACCUGACUUACGUAUCGCCAAUUAUAAAGAUUGCAGUGUUUUUUAAUGUGGGGCUUCGCAAGAGGAUUAAAAUCCUGACCCUAGAGCCUUUUCGUUCAAUGGGUAACUCCUCAAAAACAUCAUGAGCAAGUUGGUAGAGUGACGUUGGUGAGUCAUCGAUGACUGGGAUAUCGACUUCGAAUCUGUGUUGCUUCAGUUUCUUAAGUUUACCGCUGAGUUUAGGGUUAAUGAGGAGGCUUCUCCAGGGUGGUUGAGAGGCAGGUUUUGGCUUAAAGGAUGGCUUCUUCUUUCGAUGAAGGUGGGGUAGGGGAAGAUAGGGAAGAGUGGAUGGAUAGAGAGGCAAUUU